This 313-nucleotide unclassified non-coding RNA is filed under the name uncultured fungus. RNAcentral's name for it is "partial contains 18S rRNA, ITS1, 5.8S rRNA, ITS2 and 28S rRNA". Lineage: Eukaryota; Fungi. The record is from RNAcentral.
AAGGAUCAUUAACGAAUAGUGAGGACUUGGUUGUAGCUGGCUUUCUCCUAGAGAGCAUGUGCACGCCGAGUUCAAACAUUUCAACUCUUUAACCUCCUGUGCACUUUUGUGGAUCGUAGAUGGAUAAAUCUCUCAAAGUAACAUUUGGUCUUGGGGUUUGCGCCUAACACACGCUUUCUUCCCUACAUCUGUCCGCGAUUCAUGUCUUUUUAUACAAACUUUUAAAUAACAACCUAGAAUGCUUAAUAGUUGGGAACUUUUGUAACCCUUCUUAAAUCUUAUACAACUUUCAACAACGGAUCUCUUGGCUCUC